GCCAGGCAUGGUGGUGCACACCUGUAGUCCCAGCUACUUGGAAGGCUGAGGUGUGGUGGUACACAUAUGUAGUCCCAGCUACUCCAGAGACUGAGGCCAGAGGAUCGCUUGAGCCCAGCCAGGAGUUUUGGGCUGCAGUGCGCUGUGCUGAUUGGGUGUCCACACUAAGUUCAUCACCAAUAUGGUGAACUCCCUGGAGCCGAGGACCAACAGGUUGGCUAGGGAGGGAUGAAUCGGCCCAGGCUGGAAAUGGCGCAGGUCAAAAUUUCCAUGCUGAUUAGUAGUGGGAUGGUGCCUGCGAAUAGCCACUGCACUCUGGCCUGGCCAACAUAGCAAGAUUCUGUCUCUA
Molecule: non-coding RNA, 349 nt
Organism: Nomascus leucogenys (northern white-cheeked gibbon)
Lineage: Eukaryota; Metazoa; Chordata; Mammalia; Primates; Hylobatidae
Rfam family: Metazoan signal recognition particle RNA
About the family: The signal recognition particle (SRP) is a universally conserved ribonucleoprotein. It is involved in the co-translational targeting of proteins to membranes. The eukaryotic SRP consists of a 300-nucleotide 7S RNA and six proteins: SRPs 72, 68, 54, 19, 14, and 9.
Source: Rfam